This 150-nucleotide ribosomal RNA is filed under the name Aliarcobacter butzleri. RNAcentral describes it as "partial 16S ribosomal RNA". It matches the Rfam family "Bacterial small subunit ribosomal RNA", at positions 1 to 141 of the family's 1533-position model. Lineage: Bacteria; Pseudomonadati; Campylobacterota; Epsilonproteobacteria; Campylobacterales; Arcobacteraceae. The record is from RNAcentral.
UUUAUGGAGAGUUUGAUCCUGGCUCAGAGUGAACGCUGGCGGCGUGCUUAACACAUGCAAGUCGAACGAGAACGGAUUAUAGCUUGCUAUAAUUGUCAGCUAAGUGGCGCACGGGUGAGUAAUGUAUAGGUAAUAUGCCUCUUACUAAGG